ACAUCUGGAAGGUUGGUGACUUUGCUACGCUACAGACAGAGGGCAAGGAGAGCACAGCACAGGACAAGUUAAAAAAAGCUCCAGAGAGAACUAAAGGAACUGUACGCAGAUCUGCGAUGAGCUACGGUGCUCCUUUGACCAAACCGGCAGUGCAUUCAACCUGGUGAAGAUCAUAUCACUGGGACUCGACAAUUUGCUGACAGGAUCUGUGAGAUCUCUGGAGCUCUCCAUAGAACAGCUCCUGGCUAAGACGGUGUUCACCCUGUACUCCCCGGCGGUGCUGCAGCUGUCUAAACGGGACCGCUUUGAUUUGGCCUGCGUGUUGUCACCACGCUGGAAAGAAACUGUGCUCUUUUUCUCAGUGCUCCUAAUAAAGAGAUCCUGCUAAUGGCUAUGAAGGACAUGGACAUUGCUCAGCUGACCUCUACUGACCUGCCACUGCAGGUAGUGCAGUGUUCCCUGUUGAAACGUCAAUUAUGGACUAUCGCAAGAUCCUCAGUGGUAUAAUGGAAGUAUCCCCUGAACUCUAUGACAAUGAGUCUUGGACAGCUAUAUGGAGAAAACGACCUCUCCACCAGCGAGUGAACUGAGUGCUUUUUUCUCUCAUGAGAUCAGCCUGCACAGAUGAGGAAUCAGAUUAGAAGUGGAUUGAUGGAACUGUAGACACACUGAGGAUAUGAAAACUCUGUCAUGGAUGACAACCAGGUUCCCACACUCAUCAUCAGAGGGAAAUCUCAUGCCUGAACAGGUGAGAAUGGAAACCUGACCACUAGAUAUUGUGUCAAGUGCCAGGUUUCAUAGAAUUUUAUACACUGACUACAAGUUGUUUACUUCUGGGCACUGUGGGCAGCAACUAAAAUUUCUCCAAAGGAAACAAACUGAAGCUGUUUUGGUUUCUGUCUUGAAAAUCCGACAAGGCAGAAGCACAAAGACAGGCCAGGAUUAAUAGCUUAAAACGGAAAAGGAGCCGGAACAUCCAAGUGGCUUGAUCCAUUUAGCUGACAGUCUGGCGCACAUUAGAAAUGGAACA
Long non-coding RNA from Sander lucioperca (pikeperch), 1030 nucleotides. RefSeq lists it as uncharacterized. NCBI's taxonomy places the organism in Eukaryota, Metazoa, Chordata, Actinopteri, Perciformes, Percidae. The transcript is spliced from 6 exons. The record is from RefSeq and is a predicted model, not a curated record.